This 460-nucleotide ribosomal RNA is filed under the name uncultured bacterium. RNAcentral's name for it is "partial 16S ribosomal RNA". It matches the Rfam family "Bacterial small subunit ribosomal RNA", at positions 338 to 795 of the family's 1533-position model. The record is from RNAcentral.
CCUACGGGUGGCAGCAGUGAGGAAUAUUGGUCAAUGGACGAGAGUCUGAACCAGCCAAGUAGCGUGAAGGAUGACUGCCCUAUGGGUUGUAAACUUCUUUUAUAUGGGAAUAAAACGUUCCACGUGUGGGAUUUUGUAUGUACCAUAUGAAUAAGGAUCGGCUAACUCCGUGCCAGCAGCCGCGGUAAUACGGAGGAUCCGAGCGUUAUCCGGAUUUAUUGGGUUUAAAGGGAGCGUAGGUGGAUUGUUAAGUCAGUUGUGAAAGUUUGCGGCUCAACCGUAAAAUUGCAGUUGAAACUGGCAGUCUUGAGUACAGUAGAGGUGGGCGGAAUUCGCGGUGUAGCGGUGAAAUGCUUAGAUAUCACGAAGAACUCCGAUUGCGAAGGCAGUUCACUGGACUGCAACUGACACUGAGGCUCGAAAGUGUGGGUAUCAAACAGGAUUAGAUACCCCAGUAGUC